This 66-nucleotide transfer RNA is filed under the name Patella ferruginea. RNAcentral's name for it is "tRNA-Asp". The record is from RNAcentral. Lineage: Eukaryota; Metazoa; Mollusca; Gastropoda; Patellidae.
AGAAAAUUAGUUAAAUCAUCAAUAAUAUGAGAUUGUCAUUCUUAAGUUGCCUGUACGGCAUUUUCU